Molecule: small nuclear RNA, 156 nt
Organism: Carcharodon carcharias (great white shark)
Lineage: Eukaryota; Metazoa; Chordata; Chondrichthyes; Lamniformes; Lamnidae
Product: U1 spliceosomal RNA
Exons: 1
Source: RefSeq, a predicted model, not a curated record
AUACUUAACUGGCCGGGGAGAGAUCAUGAUCAUGAAGGUGGUUCUCCCAGGACGAGGUUAGCCUAUUGCACUUGGGAUGUGCUGACACCUCCGAAAUCCGGGAUACUUGAUGGCAAAAUUUGUUGUAGUGGGCUUUUGCAUUUGUGAUCUACCCUG